CCGUUGCUGAGCUCAUCCUCUUCCGGUGAUAAUAGUUACAUUUACAAAGUUUAACUUUAGUUAAGUUUCACAAUACUGAAACAAAACUUUUUUUUUAUAGCCUAAGCGAGCUCUUAAAGUGUGGUGCCGCUGUUAAUUAUGGCAUCUUUCCGUAAAUUACUCUACGUACCGCGCUUCGACACUCAGUCGCCUCAAACUGACAAGGAAUCGGGAUAUAACGGAGAAAACAACAAACACCAUAAACUGAACGGGUUAACUCAGGCGACUCCCUUACUUUUCCACGACGUUACAAGUCCCGAAAUAACACAAUGUUUGUCAAAAAAGGUGAAAACAAACCAUCUUUUGAGGUUGUACGCCAAUAUGAGAUCAACGGUUAAUCUGAGGGCAUCUAAAGGCGGGAAAUCACGGCGCGCCAAACGCGUCACUUACGGAGGUGUAGGAGAACAGCCACACAGGGCCUCAUCUGAUACUUUUGGAUUCCCACCAAGAGAUGUUAAAGCAGAUGAAAUGUACCGAUCCCGAACAAAACAGGAUGUACUGAGGACAAUCAAGAGAAUGGUGGAGGAGAACAGGGUCAUCAGAGAGCGGUUACUCACCUUGAGGCAGCAGAGCCGAAGCAAAUGAGUUUCAGGUGGUACCACAUACAGCAAAUUUUCAAGAGGAAAGGAAUGUUCACAUGCCACAAUGCUGUUUAUUAUAUUGCCUCCAUAUAUGUUGUUAUUAGAAUCUAAAAUCUAAAUUCUUAGGGCUUUAAAAAAUAACAAAUUUACGGAGGGCAUGAGCAUGACUUACAGAUGACCACUAGAUGGUGAUAUUUCCAAAAUUAAGAGCAACUACAUAAAGUGUAGAAGGGCUCUUACGUACACACUCUCCAUUUAAAUUAUACGGUA
RNAcentral lists this long non-coding RNA (890 nucleotides) under Sinocyclocheilus rhinocerous. RNAcentral's name for it is "lncRNA (ENSSRHG00000046645.1)". Lineage: Eukaryota; Metazoa; Chordata; Actinopteri; Cypriniformes; Cyprinidae. The record is from RNAcentral.